Molecule: long non-coding RNA, 807 nt
Organism: Cygnus olor (mute swan)
Lineage: Eukaryota; Metazoa; Chordata; Aves; Anseriformes; Anatidae
Exons: 3
Source: RefSeq, a predicted model, not a curated record
AAAUGGAAGCCUUGAUUCUAUAUCCUGCUUUACCCAGGGUAGUCCUUAAGGACCGAGACUUCAGGCUUUCAGCUGCCUGCCCUCAGCUGUGAAUGCCUGAUUGGAAAGGGGAUGUGUUCCUAACCAGAAAGACAACAGUCAGUCCCUGGGUGUCUGUCAAGGUGGAUGGCAUUGCAAGUAACUGUUUGCCAGUAGUCACCCCGAUAUUGAACAUGGAUAUCCUCGGAUGUGCAGCUGUAGGUAUCAUAGUUAGCCAAGAACAUUGUGCUUACAGAUCUGAGCAACUUGGACAGAAAUCCUCCUUCACCAGCCAGAAGUCAUGAAACCAAAGGCAGAAAUCAGCAUAAGGAGACCAGGCACCUCAGACUGAUGGCAGAGUUAAUCUUCAGAGCCCAUUAAGGUAAAUAAAGGCUUCUUCUGUUCUGUUCUGGACUUGGAGAGAAAAUUCAGUAGCAGUUGGGGCCUUUCUUUGAAAUGACAAGAAGCCAACUAUUCAUCAGAAUAUGAAGUGUUGGAAAGCCAUGGAUGGCAAUAUCCUGUAGCAGCAGGUGCAGAGGCUGGUUAGCCCGAGUAGGGGAAGAUGUAAAAGGUGAGAAAAAUAUCAAUCUGUGAGCAGCAGAAUGCUCCCAGGGCAGGCUGUGGAGAAGGGCGCUCUGAACAGAUUCUCGACUGUCCUCCUGCCACUCCUAUAUCAAUAUUUUUGGAGAGAAACUGCUUCUUAAGAAAACCAAUUAAAGAGAACUGAGUGCAAAAGCAACACUGUUCUGCAGUUACAGGCUGUGUGACGGCAACCAGAAGACAGGUUUU